Molecule: long non-coding RNA, 5053 nt
Organism: Corvus moneduloides (New Caledonian crow)
Lineage: Eukaryota; Metazoa; Chordata; Aves; Passeriformes; Corvidae
Source: Ensembl
UUUGAAGCAAAAAUUAAUCCUUAAAUACUAACUUUUUUUGCUAUUUUAUAAUUCACAAGGGUGUAAAUCCUGACAGCUUUGGAGGUUUUGGAUACUUGUGAAGAUGUACAUCAAGAGCUGUCAUGCCUUUUCUGAAGUCCCCGGCUGGAAUGUGCAUGUCUGUGGGUCAGCCCCUUGGCUACUCCCUGGUAUUUCUGGUAUCCUCAGGCUCUGGGACUUCACCUCCUUCUUCCUCAGAAAGACCUCUGGAAAGUUCAAAGUGUCAAGAAAAUUCUUGCAGAACUGUGAUAAGACAUGCGUUCAAGCAGUGAAGACUUCCAUAACACUGGCUAAAUGCCUUAUUAAUCUAACAUGUGUCAGUCUCCCAUCUGACACUUGGCGCCUCUUCAGAGCUCCAUUGACUUCAGUGAGGCAUGAAAUUGAGAAAGAAUUGCAGUUAAGUCUGCUUAAAACAGAAUUGCAACUAUUUAUGCCAAGCUGCAGAGAGAGCAAAACUCUUGAUAGUGAAAAGAAAUUCUGCACAAGUGAAAAUAGAAAAAAAAUGGAUCUGACAAAGCUUUUGAAAGUUUACAGUAAGUAGGUAAAGUGAACAAUAUUUUGGUUUCUUCCAUCUGUUUGACAUUGUAGGGUAAAAAUAACUAAUGUCAACCAUAAUAAAGUAUCAUGAGGCAACUGAAUGAAAAAUAUUAAGUUUUUAUACGGCAACUCAGCUACCACUUCUUUACCAUAACUGGGAAACACAGGUUUUGGAGUUUUGUUUGGGUUUUUUUCUCUCUCAACCUGUACUUCCCUAAGAGAUAGGAUGAACAAAAUUGAAAGUGUGAAUAACAAAACUGUAAGUAGUGACAAGAGGAAAUAAGUCUACAGAGAGCACAUGUAUGGAGUCACAUGUAACACAAAAAUCUGAUUCUGUAGCAUGUCUUGAAAUGAUUUGUUUGCUGGCAAUGGGGAAGGCAAAUAAUCUACUCUGUCAUGUCACUAAGUUUAGUAAUGCUAAUAAAAAGGUUUUGAAGCGUAACUACUACUUGCAUGAGUAUUGACCUCACUGGGUCUAAUUCAAUGAAGUGCUUCACUGAAUGAAUAAGAAUUGCAAAACAGAGCAACUUGUUAGAUUAAAAAAUGGGGUAUUUUGCAAUCCUACUUUUUUUUUUUUUCCUGAGUAGCACUACUAGUUCCCAUCUGGGCCUGCAUAAGUCUCAUGCUUCUGGAAGCACUGAUAAAUUACAUUCCAAGAACAAUAAGCAAUGACUUUUAACUUUUGUGUGAAAUCACUUCAUAAUUUCCUGUUCAGAGACUGACAUUUCAUCAUUAAACAUAGGUCAAAGCUAUGUCUGCUUUGUUCAGUUUUAUUAGUAUAAUAGUAAUGAGAUUUGUCUCCCUUGUUAAGCAUCAGUUGUCUUAAUGUUCCAGGUGUUUGUAGUGGAGAAUGACUUGUCUGAAGCGACGUGGUGAUGACACAGAGAAGGAACAGAUGGCACAGAGCUGCCCCUGCUCCGUUCAUCGUGUCCAGUGGAAACAAUGACAAUACCACGCUGGCUCUUGGCAAAUUACGGAGCUCAGCAAGCAAAUCAGCCUGACUGGCAGACGUCUUGGAAAAGUAAACUGAAAUCUGCCUUGCACGGCUCUAGAGGGUACAUGGCUAUGGAUCACAUCACUACUGAAAGAGGUCUGUAGAGAAAUGUCUCAGGAAAGACAUUUUGCCUCAACCUGGUGCUUCUAAAGUGGUUUUUUUAGCCUUUGGCUUGGCUGAGUGGUUCUAUUGGCUUCACUGGGUCUAGUUAGCUGAGUUAAGGUUUUUUUUAUUUGAGUAAGAAUUGCAGAUUCAACUUUAUGAGAAAUUCCCAGAUAAGAGUAUAGUAAUGGCAUCAGGCUUGUAAUUGGAAGAAGAUAGAGCAGAAGGUACACUGGGCUCACUUGUGCUUGCUGCUGGAUUUCUGCAGCAGGCUCUUAGUUGCUAUAUGGUUAUUCUUUUUGUCUCGUGUGAUUUUUUUGCAUUAAUGUUGGUUUCGUCUGAUCAUGACGUUCUAGUCAGAUUCAUUUUAUUUUUGUAUCAUAAGAUAAAGACAGAACUCUAUCAGUUGCACAAUUUAUGAAGCCUUACUCCUUGCAAGGAGAUAAAAGUUGCAGGUGCUACAAAUGUCCUCAGGUUAGCUACAGAUUCUUGAUUGGAUUUAUGUAUCAUAUAUCAAUCAGAUAUAUGUAUCAGAUAGAAAAUCCCAACAACUUCCAAAUGCUAUGAGUACUCAAAGCUUAUUGACAUCUGGAUGCAGUCAGAAAACUGGUUCUGGUAAUACUGCCUAAGAAACCAGGCUGACAGCAUCUUUAUAUGCUUAAGGCUUUCAACCAUUGUCUUGUUAUCUUACUGUGCACUGUGAAGAACAAGGAGGUGCAGAGGUGUCAAGAGGCAGCUGUGCCAGCCCCAGGGUUCUGCAGGGGCUGCAUGGACCUGCCAGACAUGGAGGAGCCCUGCCUGUUGUACCAUGCCCUGCCCUGUUGCAGCACUGGUUGCGUGCAUCCACCUGUGCCACGGUUCUGAAUUGCUCUAGAUUAUUCCCUGACCGAUAUCAAACCAUUUUGUAUGUCCUUCAAGUUGUGCAAGGGCACUUGAGGGGAUCUUUCCACAUUAGUGUGCAGUUUUACACCCAGGUGUAGUGGCAAAUCCCUACUCAUUCCCACGUAUGUAUUGCUAGAUAAGGUGUAAAGAAGCAAAUGUAGAUAUGGGGUUCUUCCAUGUGAACAUUUAGGAAAUUUAGUCUACAGCCAGUGCUGGUGAAGUGUGGAUGACUCAAAAGACACCAAUGGAGGUGACUGACCAGCUGAUGGCUGGUAUUUUCUGUUGCUUUGUUGUAAUUGUGUCUCCCUAUCAGUUCAUGAAGUCAUCUACAUAUGCGAGGCAGGAAUUGCCUCCAACAUCCAUGUGUCCACAUACAUGAAAUAUAAAUAGAAGUCAUCAGUGGUACACAGAAUUUAUGAGACGGAUUUCUGUUGUAAGGGAAAUUGUUGUGAGAGCAAAAAGGAUUUUUUUACUGUGUAUUCCACUACUGGCAUGCUCUGCUGCCAAUUUAAACACUAUUAGAAUCUUGGAUUUUAACAGAGGAACAGGCUUGGGUUCCCAGUUUUUUCAGCUCGUGUUUGACAUCGGUGUUUGUCCACUCAAAACAAGCAUAAAGCUGCCGGGUGUCUUUGCUUAGAUGCUUAUUGUUUCGUGUGGUAUGUAAAUGUGAAUCUGUCAUGAACUGAAAUUAUCAAGGUCUUGCCAUUAGAUUGCAAGACCAUUUCACAACUGUGCUGUAAGUAACUGUAUUCUGGGGUGAGCAGGAAUCCUACAAAGUCCUUCUGGCUUAUGACAUGACAGUUUUCUGGGAUGAGCUCUCAUGCUUUCUUGCAACAUUUAUGUUUUUUUAUUAGUAGGUAAUCCAGUACUGCAAUUAUAAAUGGGGACACUGUGAAUCCAGUAUUGUUAUUUUAAAUGGGGACAUUGUGACCACUCCAAUGACGCUUCAUGUCUGACUGGGCCAAAAGUCUAGUGGGAGGUUAGAUGUUUCUGUCCCCAUUUCUUGGGUGCAUCAGCAGAUUUCAGCCUUUUAACCUGUCCUAUGUAACAAUGGGAGUGCAUACCAUAAAAGUGAUUUUCUUCACACGCUGAGAGACAACUUAGACAGAACCCUACCCCCCUCCUGUUUUCUCUGCUCUGUUGUUAAACCUUGGCCAAUUAACUGAGUAUAUUUUACUUCACUUUUGUACCAUACUCCUCAGCAAUUUGUCUCAGAGCAUUUAAAAAGGACUUAAACACUUUUAUCCUGAUUUUGAUGUGAGUUAGCAAAAAUCCACUGGCAUUAACAGGAUGAUGACAAAGCAAGGAAUAAAACCUAGAACCUGGGAAUUCAUUGAUGGUUUUCCUACAGAUUUAUAGCAAUUGCACUCAUGUCUUGCAAACUUUACUAGCAUUUUUGUAGAACAUGAUGUGUGGUCUGCUGGUAAUACUAGAAAUUCACCAUCUUCUUGCCAAUGUACGGAGGGUGACCAGUACCCAAGCCACUAAAGAGAAGGGCCCAUAUAAUCUUAGUAGGAUUGGUGUCCCCUGCAGUUAAAUACGUGCAGUUCUUUUAAGGUCAGCAUAGCAAAUUUUUUGCUCCCAGUUCCCAGAAUGUUAAAAAUAGGGUAUUGCUAGUGGUGGUUUUGGUGCUGCAAAGUAGACAAUUAUUGAGUCCUUCCUCCAGUGUCCAGGCAGCACAGCUCCUCAUAUCUUUGAGUAAUAGAUUUAGGUGCAGAUAACUGGUAAAAUGAUAGAUACGUAUCUAGAAGGCUGAGUAAUAGAUGAGGUGGCUUUGAGUAAGAUGGAGUUCUGAAGGACACAAUUCUUUUUUUAGGUUUUUUUGUUGGUUGGGCUUGGGUUUUUUGUUUGGUUGGUUUUUUGGCUUUGGGUUGGGUUUUUUUUUGUUUGGUCAGUUGGUUGGUUUGGUUUUUUGGGUGGUUUUCAUUUUGGUGGUGGUUUUUUUUGUUUUGGUUUUUGGUUUUUUUUGGUGGGUAUUUUGGUUUUGUUGUUGGGGUUUUUUGGUUUUUUUACUGCAGGAGAAAUAUCACAUUCUGUUUACAGAUCAUUUUUGUGUAUUUGGCCAGACUUGUCCCUUCUUGCUCUGAAUAGGAUCAGGGCAGGAAUUUUAGUCAACUUCUAGUGGUAUUUGUUUUGUGAGCACUGGCUUUUAGAUCAUGGUUAACAGAUAUCCAAAUGGACAGCUCUUCUCUGAGUUUUUUUUAAUUGCUCAUUUAAAGUCAUCUUUAAAUGUAGUAUUUUUUUAAAGUUCCAUUUGUUUGUUGUCUUAAAUAUUAUAGAUACUGAAAACUAAAAUUACUAUAACAUACUUAAUUCACUGUUACAUUCAUGUAAGGACACUGGUAUUUCAUGGGUCUUGAAACAGAUAUCAAGUGUAGACCUAGAACCUGGACCUGGCAGCAGAAUUUGCAUUAUCUGAAGCGUUAUCUGAUUGGAGAUUCCACCUCCCUUGUGAACCUAACAGGAAAAAAUAAAAGAGACAUAUGAGAUGUUAAUUUU